AGGAGGAGAAGGGGACGACAGAGGAUGAGAUGGUGGAUGGCAUCACUGACUCGAUGGAUAGGGAGGAAACCGAGUCCGCAGACGCCCGGCGCAGCCCCAGGUGCCCGCAGAGCUGCCCUGCGCGGCUCAGCCCCCGACCCUCUCGUCCCCCAUGCUGCUCUGCUGGGAUCGGGUCAGCACCGCCCUGCACCCCCUCUGAGCACGGCGACCUCCUUCCCAACUCCACCCUUGCGUCCAGGAGCCUUCAGAGACACAAGGGGGCCCGAGAGCUCCCACUCGCCCAGCAGUGAGCGCGGGCCAGAUGGGGCGACACGCUGUGUUCUGCCUCCUGCUGUGGCCUCAUUUCACAUGUGGGGAGACUGAGGCAGGAAACGGGGGGUCACUGCCUCAAACCCGGGACCCCAGGAUCCAGAGUUGGCCCCCCCCGGCGGCUCCCCCCUCCACGUGGGGCCACACUCAGCCCCGCGUCCACGUCUGUAGAGACACACUCAGACACACUCUCAAAUCUGCAGCUCCACCUGAUUGUCUGGCUCCCCUGGGUGCAAUUCGAGAACAAAGAUGGCAAAGGAAGCAAACACGCCAGCGAAGCUCGUAGUUUAGAGAAAAGGCAAAAUGAAAUAAGGCACAUCCGCUUCCGUGGGCUCCCGUUAGCGUUUUGUCAGCAACGACAAGCAAACGAGACAGUCUGAAAGUCAGUCCCCGACCUGCCGUUCAGGGAAGAUCUCCCCAAGGGAACCUCUGGGCCAUGGCCAUGCGUGGAGACCAAGCGGGUAACUAACUGCUUGACCUCUGGGACCGCUCCCAAAAGCCUUUGUUUCUCGUAAGAAAGCAGGGCUGCCAGAAGCCCUGGUGGGAACUGAGACACAACCGCGGUGCUUUCGGGGCUUGCGAGGUGCUGGCCCCAGCGAAGGGCCCAUCAGGGGCUUCCAGGGGCCGUCUGUCUCCUGAGUGACAGAUCCACGGCACCAGCAUCACCUUUCCUCUUGGGGCUUGCCCGGAGGGCACGGGCUUGGAGGCGUGGGGGACGGGCCGCAGACCCUGAGCCCCAGGGUGAGGGCCGCUGGUCCGUGCUCCUGUGCGGAUAGCGCAAGCGACUAUCCCACCCCCAAGGAGAGACUGGACGCUUCCUUUCAGGUCUGCACGCGCUGACUUCUGUUUCCAUCUGCAAUGACUAGACCCUCAGGAAGUGGUGCAGAGGGGCCGUGAGAGCAGGAAUCCUCGCCUCAUUCCCAGUCUUACGGGGAUGACGUUUCCCACCAUUGAGCAUGACAUUAGCUUAGAUUUCACAUACUCACCCUGUGUUGCUCUAUCUGAGGUCCCUGAGAGUUGUUAUGAUUGGAUCUUUAAUUUUGUCAAAUGCUUUUUUCCUGUAUCUAUUACAAUGAUCCUGUGAGUGUUGUUCUUUAUUCUGUUAAUAUGGUAAAUUACGUUGAUUGAUUUUUGAGUGCUAAACCAUCCUUGUAUUUUGAGAUAAACCUUGCUUAAUUGUAAUGCAUUGUCCUUGUUAAAUGUUGCUAGAUUUCCUGAGUUGCUUAUAUUUUAUUAAGGACUUUCUUGUCCACAAUCAUGAGAAAUAUUGGUUCACAGUUUUGUUUUUUUUUUUUUCAAUGCGGUUGUCUGUUUUUAUUUCAGAAUUAUGCUGGCCUCAUAAAGCAAGUUGAAAAGUU
Long non-coding RNA from Cervus elaphus (red deer), 1667 nucleotides. RefSeq lists it as uncharacterized. Lineage: Eukaryota; Metazoa; Chordata; Mammalia; Artiodactyla; Cervidae. The record is from RefSeq and is a predicted model, not a curated record. The transcript has 2 exons.